GCGAUCAUACCAGCCUUAAUGCACCGGAUUCCAUCAGAACUCCGAAGUUUAGCGUGCUUGGGCGAGAGCAUCACUAGGAUGGGUGACCCCCUGGGAAGUUCUCGUGUUCCACCU
RNAcentral lists this ribosomal RNA (114 nucleotides) under Zingiber officinale. Lineage: Eukaryota; Viridiplantae; Streptophyta; Magnoliopsida; Zingiberales; Zingiberaceae. The record is from RNAcentral.